CCCUUAGAUGUUCUGGGCUGCACCCGUGUUACACUGGCAGGUUCAGCGAGCUUCAUGCCCUGAUCUGAAAGGAAUGGGAAAUCUUUUCAAAACCUGCCGUGCUUGGGAUAGAUGUUUGCAAUUAUUCAUCUUCAACGAGGAUUGCCUUGUAAGCGCACGUCAUCAGCGUGCAUUGAAUACGACCCUGUAUUCUGUACACACCGCCCGUCGCUCCUACCGAUUGAAGUUUUCGGUGAGUUGACAGGAGGAUUUUUUUGAAACUGGUUCGCCAGUGGAUUUUAGAUCCAAAUGCCAACGAAUCGAUGGCUUUAGAGGAAGGAGAAGUCGUAACA
This 332-nucleotide ribosomal RNA is filed under the name uncultured eukaryote. RNAcentral's name for it is "partial 18S ribosomal RNA". It matches the Rfam family "Eukaryotic small subunit ribosomal RNA", at positions 1470 to 1796 of the family's 1831-position model. The record is from RNAcentral.